GUGCUUCAGGGUCACACCUGGAGAGUUUCCAGUCCUCUACCAGUCUCGGCAGUGGGAGGAAGAGUGAAGCAGAGGCGUAUCCAUUCCAUUCCUAGCUUGGGCAGUGGCUGGUGAGUGGAAGACAAUCUGCUACAAGC
Molecule: small nucleolar RNA, 137 nt
Organism: Tachyglossus aculeatus (Australian echidna)
Lineage: Eukaryota; Metazoa; Chordata; Mammalia; Monotremata; Tachyglossidae
Source: RefSeq, a predicted model, not a curated record